CUUAAGUGGGGAAUAACGCAUCGAAAGUUGCGCUAAUACCGCAUACGUUCUACGGAAGAAAGUGGGGGAUCUUCGGACCUCAUGCUUUUGGAGCGGCCGAUGUCUGAUUAGCUAGUUGGUGGGGUAAAGGCUCACCAAGGCGACGAUCAGUAGCUGGUCUGAGAGGACGACCAGCCACACUGGAACUGAGACACGGUCCAGACUCCUACGGGAGGCAGCAGUGGGGAAUUUUGGACAAUGGGCGCAAGCCUGAUCCAGCAAUGCCGCGUGAGUGAAGAAGGCCUUCGGGUUGUAAAGCUCUUUUGUCAGGGAAGAAACGGCUCUAGCUAAUAUCUGGGGCUAAUGACGGUACCUGAAGAAUAAGCACCGGCUAACUACGUGCCAGCAGCCGCGGUAAUACGUAGGGUGCAAGCGUUAAUCGGAAUUACUGGGCGUAAAGCGUGCGCAGGCGGUUUUGUAAGUCUGUCGUGAAAGCCCCGGGCUCAACCUGGGAAUUGCGAUGGAGACUGCAAGGCUUGAAUCUGGCAGAGGGGGGUAGAAUUCCACGUGUAGCAGUGAAAUGCGUAGAGAUGUGGAGGAACACCGAUGGCGAAGGCAGCCCCCUGGGUCAAGAUUGACGCUCAUGCACGAAAGCGUGGGGAGCAAACAGGAUUAGAUACCCUGGUAGUCCACGCCCUAAACGAUGUCUACUAGUUGUCGGGUUUUAAUUAACUUGGUAACGCAGCUAACGCGUGAAGUAGACCGCCUGGGGAGUACGGUCGCAAGAUUAAAACUCAAAGGAAUUGACGGGGACCCGCACAAGCGGUGGAUGAUGUGGAUUAAUUCGAUGCAACGCGAAAAACCUUACCUACCCUUGACAUGGAAGGAAUCCUGAAGAGAUUUGGGAGUGCCCGAAAGGGAACCUUCACACAGGUGCUGCAUGGCUGUCGUCAGCUCGUGUCGUGAGAUGUUGGGUUAAGUCCCGCAACGAGCGCAACCC
RNAcentral lists this ribosomal RNA (979 nucleotides) under uncultured bacterium. Its description in RNAcentral is "bacterial SSU rRNA". It matches the Rfam family "Bacterial small subunit ribosomal RNA", at positions 131 to 1104 of the family's 1533-position model. The record is from RNAcentral.